UCGACCUGAGAUCAGACGAGACU
RNAcentral lists this ribosomal RNA (23 nucleotides) under Paranaitis wahlbergi. RNAcentral's name for it is "partial 28S ribosomal RNA". Lineage: Eukaryota; Metazoa; Annelida; Polychaeta; Phyllodocida; Phyllodocidae. The record is from RNAcentral. RNAcentral also lists the same sequence under 4 other names.